Molecule: long non-coding RNA, 222 nt
Filed under: Lathyrus oleraceus (garden pea)
Lineage: Eukaryota; Viridiplantae; Streptophyta; Magnoliopsida; Fabales; Fabaceae
Description: Pisum sativum (pea) long non-coding RNA (PSAT_LNC039606)
Source: RNAcentral
UUUAUUUCACACUUCUCUUUCAAUAUUGUGUUGUCACGUGUCUCACUAAACUAUUUAAUAACUUCCAUUUUCUCUCUCAUGUUCCCUCUUCUCCUCACUUUUCCAAAAAAUUUCCAUUAUUUUUCCUAUCAUCUCUCUUAUCCUCUAUAUUUUUCCAAACCCUAACAAUGUCGUCACCCCUUUCUCCAUCUUAUAUACGGUCACCACCACCUCUAAUGAAAA